GCGAACGCUGGCGGCAGGCUUAACACAUGCAGGUCGAGCGGGCCCUUCGGGGUCAGCGGCGGACGGGUGAGUAACGCGUGGGAACGUGCCUUCUGGUCUGGAAUAACCCUGGGAAACUAGGGCUAAUACCGGAUACGCCCUUUUGGGGAAAGGUUUACUGCCGGAAGAUCGGCCCGCGUCUGAUUAGCUAGUUGGUGGGGUAACGGCCUACCAAGGCGACGAUCAGUAGCUGGUCUGAGAGGAUGAUCAGCCACACUGGGACUGAGACACGGCCCAGACUCCUACGGGAGGCAGCAGUGGGGAAUAUUGGACAAUGGGCGCAAGCCUGAUCCAGCCAUGCCGCGUGAGUGAUGAAGGCCUUAGGGUUGUAAAGCUCUUUUAUCCGGGACGAUAAUGACGGUACCGGAGGAAUAAGCCCCGGCUAACUUCGUG
This 432-nucleotide ribosomal RNA is filed under the name uncultured bacterium. RNAcentral describes it as "partial 16S ribosomal RNA". It matches the Rfam family "Bacterial small subunit ribosomal RNA", at positions 29 to 507 of the family's 1533-position model. The record is from RNAcentral.